GGUUAAGCGACUAAGCGUACACGGUGGAUGCCCUGGCAGUCAGAGGCGAUGAAGGACGUGCUAAUCUGCGAUAAGCGUCGGUAAGGUGAUAUGAACCGUUAUAACCGGCGAUUUCCGAAUGGGGAAACCCAGUGUGAUUCGUCACACUAUCAUUAACUGAAUCCAUAGGUUAAUGAGGCGAACCGGGGGAACUGAAACAUCUAAGUACCCCGAGGAAAAGAAAUCAACCGAGAUUCCCCCAGUAGCGGCGAGCGAACGGGGAGCAGCCCAGAGCCUGAAUCAGUGUGUGUGUUAGUGGAAGCGUCUGGAAAGGCGCGCGAUACAGGGUGACAGCCCCGUACACAAAAAUGCACAUGCUGUGAGCUCGAUGAGUAGGGCGGGACACGUGGUAUCCUGUCUGAAUAUGGGGGGACCAUCCUCCAAGGCUAAAUACUCCUGACUGACCGAUAGUGAACCAGUACCGUGAGGGAAAGGCGAAAAGAACCCCGGCGAGGGGAGUGAAAAAGAACCUGAAACCGUGUACGUACAAGCAGUGGGAGCACGCUUAGGCGUGUGACUGCGUACCUUUUGUAUAAUGGGUCAGCGACUUAUAUUCUGUAGCAAGGUUAACCGAAUAGGGGAGCCGAAGGGAAACCGAGUCUUAACUGGGCGUUAAGUUGCAGGGUAUAGACCCGAAACCCGGUGAUCUAGCCAUGGGCAGGUUGAAGGUUGGGUAACACUAACUGGAGGACCGAACCGACUAAUGUUGAAAAAUUAGCGGAUGACUUGUGGCUGGGGGUGAAAGGCCAAUCAAACCGGGAGAUAGCUGGUUCUCCCCGAAAGCUAUUUAGGUAGCGCCUCGUGAAUUCAUCUCCGGGGGUAGAGCACUGUUUCGGCAAGGGGGUCAUCCCGACUUACCAACCCGAUGCAAACUGCGAAUACCGGAGAAUGUUAUCACGGGAGACACACGGCGGGUGCUAACGUCCGUCGUGAAGAGGGAAACAACCCAGACCGCCAGCUAAGGUCCCAAAGUCAUGGUUAAGUGGGAAACGAUGUGGGAAGGCCCAGACAGCCAGGAUGUUGGCUUAGAAGCAGCCAUCAUUUAAAGAAAGCGUAAUAGCUCACUGGUCGAGUCGGCCUGCGCGGAAGAUGUAACGGGGCUAAACCAUGCACCGAAGCUGCGGCAGCGACGCUUAUGCGUUGUUGGGUAGGGGAGCGUUCUGUAAGCCUGCGAAGGUGUGCUGUGAGGCAUGCUGGAGGUAUCAGAAGUGCGAAUGCUGACAUAAGUAACGAUAAAGCGGGUGAAAAGCCCGCUCGCCGGAAGACCAAGGGUUCCUGUCCAACGUUAAUCGGGGCAGGGUGAGUCGACCCCUAAGGCGAGGCCGAAAGGCGUAGUCGAUGGGAAACAGGUUAAUAUUCCUGUACUUGGUGUUACUGCGAAGGGGGGACGGAGAAGGCUAUGUUGGCCGGGCGACGGUUGUCCCGGUUUAAGCGUGUAGGCUGGUUUUCCAGGCAAAUCCGGAAAAUCAAGGCUGAGGCGUGAUGACGAGGCACUACGGUGCUGAAGCAACAAAUGCCCUGCUUCCAGGAAAAGCCUCUAAGCAUCAGGUAACAUCAAAUCGUACCCCAAACCGACACAGGUGGUCAGGUAGAGAAUACCAAGGCGCUUGAGAGAACUCGGGUGAAGGAACUAGGCAAAAUGGUGCCGUAACUUCGGGAGAAGGCACGCUGAUAUGUAGGUGAAGCGACUUGCUCGUGGAGCUGAAAUCAGUCGAAGAUACCAGCUGGCUGCAACUGUUUAUUAAAAACACAGCACUGUGCAAACACGAAAGUGGACGUAUACGGUGUGACGCCUGCCCGGUGCCGGAAGGUUAAUUGAUGGGGUUAGCGCAAGCGAAGCUCUUGAUCGAAGCCCCGGUAAACGGCGGCCGUAACUAUAACGGUCCUAAGGUAGCGAAAUUCCUUGUCGGGUAAGUUCCGACCUGCACGAAUGGCGUAAUGAUGGCCAGGCUGUCUCCACCCGAGACUCAGUGAAAUUGAACUCGCUGUGAAGAUGCAGUGUACCCGCGGCAAGACGGAAAGACCCCGUGAACCUUUACUAUAGCUUGACACUGAACAUUGAGCCUUGAUGUGUAGGAUAGGUGGGAGGCUUUGAAGUGUGGACGCCAGUCUGCAUGGAGCCGACCUUGAAAUACCACCCUUUAAUGUUUGAUGUUCUAACGUUGACCCGUAAUCCGGGUUGCGGACAGUGUCUGGUGGGUAGUUUGACUGGGGCGGUCUCCUCCUAAAGAGUAACGGAGGAGCACGAAGGUUGGCUAAUCCUGGUCGGACAUCAGGAGGUUAGUGCAAUGGCAUAAGCCAGCUUGACUGCGAGCGUGACGGCGCGAGCAGGUGCGAAAGCAGGUCAUAGUGAUCCGGUGGUUCUGAAUGGAAGGGCCAUCGCUCAACGGAUAAAAGGUACUCCGGGGAUAACAGGCUGAUACCGCCCAAGAGUUCAUAUCGACGGCGGUGUUUGGCACCUCGAUGUCGGCUCAUCACAUCCUGGGGCUGAAGUAGGUCCCAAGGGUAUGGCUGUUCGCCAUUUAAAGUGGUACGCGAGCUGGGUUUAGAACGUCGUGAGACAGUUCGGUCCCUAUCUGCCGUGGGCGCUGGAGAACUGAGGGGGGCUGCUCCUAGUACGAGAGGACCGGAGUGGACGCAUCACUGGUGUUCGGGUUGUCAUGCCAAUGGCACUGCCCGGUAGCUAAAUGCGGAAGAGAUAAGUGCUGAAAGCAUCUAAGCACGAAACUUGCCCCGAGAUGAGUUCUCCCUGACUCCUUGAGAGUCCUGAAGGAACGUUGAAGACGACGACGUUGAUAGGCCGGGUGUGUAAGCGCAGCGAUGCGUUGAGCUAACCGGUACUAAUGAACCGUGAGGCUUAACCUU
RNAcentral lists this ribosomal RNA (2904 nucleotides) under Escherichia coli. RNAcentral's name for it is "23S ribosomal RNA". It matches the Rfam family "Bacterial large subunit ribosomal RNA". The record is from RNAcentral. Lineage: Bacteria; Pseudomonadati; Pseudomonadota; Gammaproteobacteria; Enterobacterales; Enterobacteriaceae.